Molecule: transfer RNA, 74 nt
Filed under: Acidobacteriota bacterium
Lineage: Bacteria; Pseudomonadati; Acidobacteriota
Also listed under: 3 other names
Description: Acidobacteria bacterium tRNA-Pro
Rfam family: tRNA
About the family: Transfer RNA (tRNA) molecules are approximately 80 nucleotides in length. Their secondary structure includes four short double-helical elements and three loops (D, anti-codon, and T loops).
Source: RNAcentral
CGGGGCGUGGCGCAGCCUGGUAGCGCGCUCGCUUUGGGAGCGAGAAGUCGCCGGUUCGAAUCCGGCCGCCCCGA